RNAcentral lists this long non-coding RNA (371 nucleotides) under Pan troglodytes (chimpanzee). Its description in RNAcentral is "long non-coding RNA NONPTRT000432". The record is from RNAcentral. Lineage: Eukaryota; Metazoa; Chordata; Mammalia; Primates; Hominidae.
CCGGCUGAGGUGAGAUGCCUGGCGCGCAAGAGACCUUGACCAUUCAGGCAAUCCCUUGCAGAUAAAGGAGAGGAGGCUACCGGACAGCCACAUGGAUUAAGCUUCAAGAAGCCAGGGAGAUCCCGGGAGAGUCAUGGAUUGGGGACAAGAGAUGCAGCAGGAAGGAUGCGUGUUGAUUUCUGCAGACCUUGGGGGCAAUUGAGUGGGGCCAGGAUGUUUCCUCACAUGCCUGUGUGUGACGCUGUGUACCCAUGUAUGUGUUGUUUCCACAUUCUUGUUUGAUUCUAGAAAGGUACAUGGAUACAACGCGUGUGGGUGUACGAAGUGUAUGCAUGCUUAUGUGUGCUGCCGGAUAAACAUAUGGCUUUGUG